UGGCUCAGUGGUAGAGUGCUUGCCUUGCAUGCAUGAGGCCCUGGGUUCAAUUCCUCAG
Molecule: non-coding RNA, 58 nt
Organism: Dipodomys ordii (Ord's kangaroo rat)
Lineage: Eukaryota; Metazoa; Chordata; Mammalia; Rodentia; Heteromyidae
Source: Rfam